ACUACGGGUGGCUGCAGUGGGGAAUAUUGCACAAUGGGCGCAAGCCUGAUGCAGCCAUGCCGCGUGUGUGAAGAAGGCCUUCGGGUUGUAAAGCACUUUCAGCGGGGAGGAAGGCGUUAAGGUUAAUAACCUUGGCGAUUGACGUUACCCGCAGAAGAAGCACCGGCUAACUCCGUGCCAGCAGCCGCGGUAAUACGGAGGGUGCAAGCGUUAAUCGGAAUUACUGGGCGUAAAGCGCACGCAGGCGGUCUGUCAAGUCGGAUGUGAAAUCCCCGGGCUCAACCUGGGAACUGCAUUCGAAACUGGCAGGCUAGAGUCUUGUAGAGGGGGGUAGAAUUCCAGGUGUAGCGGUGAAAUGCGUAGAGAUCUGGAGGAAUACCGGUGGCGAAGGCGGCCCCCUGGACAAAGGCUGACGCUCAGGUGCGAAAGCGUGGGGAGCAAACAGGAUUAGAUACCCGAGUAGUC
RNAcentral lists this ribosomal RNA (465 nucleotides) under uncultured Klebsiella sp. RNAcentral describes it as "bacterial SSU rRNA". It matches the Rfam family "Bacterial small subunit ribosomal RNA", at positions 338 to 795 of the family's 1533-position model. Lineage: Bacteria; Pseudomonadati; Pseudomonadota; Gammaproteobacteria; Enterobacterales; Enterobacteriaceae. The record is from RNAcentral.